UACGGAGGGGGAUAGCGUUGUUCGGAAUUACUGGGCGUAAAGCGUACGUAGGCGGCUUUGUAAGUUAGAGGUGAAAGCCCGGGGCUCAACCCCGGAAUUGCCUUUAAGACUGCAUCGCUUGAACGUCGGAGAGGUGAGUGGAAUUCCGAGUGUAGAGGUGAAAUUCGUAGAUAUUCGGAAGAACACCAGUGGCGAAGGCGGCUCACUGGACGACUGUUGACGCUGAGGUGCGAAAGCGUGGGGAGCGAACGGG
Molecule: ribosomal RNA, 253 nt
Filed under: uncultured bacterium
Lineage: Bacteria
Description: partial 16S ribosomal RNA
Rfam family: Bacterial small subunit ribosomal RNA
Source: RNAcentral